This 253-nucleotide long non-coding RNA is filed under the name Nicotiana benthamiana. RNAcentral's name for it is "long non-coding RNA (NBEN_LNC003102)". The record is from RNAcentral. Lineage: Eukaryota; Viridiplantae; Streptophyta; Magnoliopsida; Solanales; Solanaceae.
GCUUUUAGUUAUCUCGAUUUGCGUGCACAGUCACGGCGCAUAGCUAAAAAACUUUUAUGUUAAAAUAUGUGAAUUCUGUCAAAAAAAUUGAAGAAUUUUGAUACUAAUAUUGAUAAAGUUGACUUUGGUCAACAUUUUGGGUAAACAGAACCAGACCCGUGAUGUGACGGUCCCGGGAGGUACGCAGAAAAAUAUAGGACUCGGUCGUAUUCCAGGAAUUGAAAUCCGAGGUCCCGAGCUCGAGAAUAGAAUU